This 680-nucleotide long non-coding RNA is filed under the name Homo sapiens (human). RNAcentral's name for it is "HSALNT0133677". Lineage: Eukaryota; Metazoa; Chordata; Mammalia; Primates; Hominidae. The record is from RNAcentral.
UCCAAAUGCUGGUUCAUCAUCAAAAAACAAACUAAGAGUUACAACUCAAAUAUCUCGUAACAGAUAAGUCAGGAAGGCCAGGGAGAGACUCCGGGGGUUUGGAGAAAGCUCCAUGUACAAGGCCACACACUGUUUGACAGCAAUUCAAAUUAUGUUGCCAUUCUGAAGAAUUAAAUGUUUCUUAUGACCUUAGACUACGACAGCCAGAUAUUUCAAGAGGAAUUAUGUCAGUGUGUACGGCAAAUCCAGAAUAAAGAUGUUCUGUUACCUCUCUAGGAGACUGAGAAAAUGACUGGGGGGUUAGCACAGGUUAACUUUCAAUAUGGCACAGAGUGAGAGCAAUAAAGCUAACUCCGGGCAACAAGCAGCAAGCAGCUUUUCCAAAAGCCAUCAAUGUUCUGUCAGUGUACACAGCAAUGUGCAAGCCUCUGAGUACGAAUCACAAACUGGAGAUUACUAGAAAACAAGACCAUUUUAGCUCCUAACAUAUGAAGUGAGUUUUGAGCAUACUACUCAGGAUUGCGAUGUCUCACUAUCUGGCAUCCCAGGGACAGAGGCUCAGCCACAUAAGCGUGUUCUCCAGAUAAAGGAGGCUUUCGUGUUAAUAUAAAUAACAAAACUUAAACAUUGUUUACAAAGACCACUCUGGGAAAAACGUCAGCCUCAAUCCAUCCCACCCC